UAUGAACGCUGGCGGCGUGCUUAACACAUGCAAGUCGAGCGAGGCCUGGGGGGCAACUCCCAGAGUCGAGCGGCGGACGGGUGAGUAACACGUGGGUAACCUGUCCGGAAGUGGGGAAUACCUCGGGGAAACUCGAGCUAAUACCGCAUGACAUCUUCGGGACGAAAGUCCUGACGAUCAAAGCGGGGUCGCAAGAUCUCGCGCUACCGGAUGGGCCCGCGCCCGAUUAGCUAGUUGGUGAGGUAACGGCUCACCAAGGCUUCGAUCGGUAACCGGCCUGAGAGGGCGAUCGGUCACACCGGAACUGAGACACGGUCCGGACUCCUACGGGAGGCAGCAGUGGGGAAUCGUUGCGCAAUGGGCGAAAGCCUGACGCAGCAACGCCGCGUGGA
RNAcentral lists this ribosomal RNA (392 nucleotides) under uncultured bacterium. RNAcentral's name for it is "bacterial SSU rRNA". It matches the Rfam family "Bacterial small subunit ribosomal RNA", at positions 29 to 405 of the family's 1533-position model. The record is from RNAcentral.